GAUGAACGCUGGCGGCGUGCCUAAUACAUGCAAGUCGAACGAAACUUCUUUAUCACCGAGUGCUUGCACUCACCGAUAAAGAGUUGAGUGGCGAACGGGUGAGUAACACGUGGGCAACCUGCCCAAAAGAGGGGGAUAACACUUGGAAACAGGUGCUAAUACCGCAUAACCAUAGUUACCGCAUGGUAACUAUGUAAAAGGUGGCUAUACUACCGCUUUUGGAUGGGCCCGCGGCGCAUUAGCUAGUUGGUAGGGUAAAGGCUUACCAACGCAAUGAUGCGUAGCCGAAUUGAGAGGUUGAUCGGCCACAUUGGGACUGAGACACGGCCCAAACUCCUACGGGAGGCAGCAGUAGGGAAUCUUCCACAAUGGGCGAAAGCCUGAUGGAGCAACGCCGCGUGGGUGAAGAAGGUCUUCGGAUCGUAAAACCCUGUUGUUAGGGAAGAAAGUGCGUGAGAGUAACUGUUCACGUUUCGACGGUAUCUAACCAGAAAGCCACGGCUAACUACGUG
RNAcentral lists this ribosomal RNA (512 nucleotides) under uncultured bacterium. Its description in RNAcentral is "partial 16S ribosomal RNA". It matches the Rfam family "Bacterial small subunit ribosomal RNA", at positions 28 to 507 of the family's 1533-position model. The record is from RNAcentral.